This 781-nucleotide ribosomal RNA is filed under the name Idaea salutaria. Its description in RNAcentral is "12S ribosomal RNA". Lineage: Eukaryota; Metazoa; Arthropoda; Insecta; Lepidoptera; Geometridae. The record is from RNAcentral.
UAAUAAAUUUUUAUAGUUUAAAGAAUUUAUUAUGAAUUUAUUUUACAUAUAAAUUUUAGUGUUAAAUUUUUAAUAUUUUAAAAAUAUUAUUAAUUUUAAAAUAGUAAUUAAUAUUAAAUAUUUAAGAAAUUAAGAUUUAGUAAUAUUUAAAUUAAAAACUAAUUUUGUGCCAGCAGUUGCGGUUAUACAAAAAUUAAUAUAAAAUAUAUUAGUAUUUAAUUAAUAAAUAAUUUAUAUAUAAAAUAAAUUUUAAAUUAUUAGGUGAAAUUUUAAUUUAAUAUAAUUUUAUAUCUGAUUUAUGAUUUAAUAAAUUUAAUUGUAAACUAGGAUUAGAUACCCUAUUAUUUUAAAAAUAAAAAUUUAAAAUUAAAGUAAUAAAUAAUUAUUUAUUGAAAUUUAAAUAAUUUGGCGGUAUUUUAGUUUAUUUAGAGGAAUCUGUUUAUUAAUUGAUAAUCCACGAAUUAAUUUACUUAAUUUUAAUAUUUUGUAUAUCGUUGUUAAAAAAAUAUUUUAAAAUAAUAAAUAAUAUUUAAUAAUUUUUAUGAUAAAUUUAAAUCAGAUCAAGAUGCAGAUUAUAAUUAAGAAUAUAAUGGAUUACAAUAAAUUUAUUUAUAUGAAAAUUUAUAUGAAAAAUAAAUUGAAGGUGGAUUUAAAUGUAAUUUUAUUUAUUUUAAUAAAAUGAUUUAAAAUUAAAAUAUGUACAUAUUGCCCGUCGCUUUCAUUAAUAAGUUGAAAUAAGUCGUAACAAAGUAGAGGUACUGGAAAGUGUUUCUAGAAAGAU